UAAUACGGAGGGUGCAAGCGUUAAUCGGAAUUACUGGGCGUAAAGCGCGCGUAGGCGGUUUGAUAAGCGGAGUGUGAAAUCCCCGGGCUUAACCUGGGAACUGCAUUCCGAACUGUCAAGCUAGAGUAUGAGAGAGGGUGGCGGAAUUCCGAGUGUAGCGGUGAAAUGCGUAGAUAUUCGGAGGAACACCAGUGGCGAAGGCGGCCACCUGGAUCAAUACUGACGCUGAGGCGCGAAAGCGUGGGUAGCAAACAGG
This 256-nucleotide ribosomal RNA is filed under the name uncultured bacterium. Its description in RNAcentral is "partial 16S ribosomal RNA". It matches the Rfam family "Bacterial small subunit ribosomal RNA", at positions 521 to 776 of the family's 1533-position model. The record is from RNAcentral.